RNAcentral lists this ribosomal RNA (1332 nucleotides) under uncultured bacterium. RNAcentral describes it as "bacterial SSU rRNA". It matches the Rfam family "Bacterial small subunit ribosomal RNA", at positions 28 to 1381 of the family's 1533-position model. The record is from RNAcentral.
GACGAACGCUGGCGGCGCGCCUAACACAUGCAAGUCGAACGAGCAAAGAGGAGCUUGCUUCUCUGAGCGAGUGGCGAACGGGUGAGUAACGCGUGAGGAACCUGCCUCAAAGAGGGGGACAACAGUUGGAAACGACUGCUAAUACCGCAUAAGCCCACGGGUCGGCAUCGACCAGAGGGAAAAGGAGCAAUCCGCUUUGAGAUGGCCUCGCGUCCGAUUAGCUAGUUGGUGAGGUAAUGGCCCACCAAGGCGACGAUCGGUAGCCGGACUGAGAGGUUGAACGGCCACAUUGGGACUGAGACACGGCCCAGACUCCUACGGGAGGCAGCAGUGGGGAAUAUUGCACAAUGGGGGAAACCCUGAUGCAGCGACGCCGCGUGGAGGAAGAAGGUCUUCGGAUUGUAAACUCCUGUUGUUGAGGAAGAUAAUGACGGUACUCAACAAGGAAGUGACGGCUAACUACGUGCCAGCAGCCGCGGUAAAACGUAGGUCACAAGCGUUGUCCGGAAUUACUGGGUGUAAAGGGAGCGCAGGCGGGAAGACAAGUUGGAAGUGAAAUCCAUGGGCUCAACCCAUGAACUGCUUUCAAAACUGUUUUUCUUGAGUAAUGCAGAGGUAGACGGAAUUCCCGGUGUAGCGGUGGAAUGCGUAGAUAUCGGGAGGAACACCAGUGGCGAAGGCGGCCUACUGGGCACCAACUGACGCUGAGGCUCGAAAGUGUGGGUAGCAAACAGGAUUAGAUACCCUGGUAGUCCACACCGUAGACGAUGAUUACUAGGUGUUGGAGGAUUGACCCCUUCAGUGCCGCAGUUAACACAAUAAGUAAUCCACCUGGGGAGUACGACCGCAAGGUUGAAACUCAAAGGAAUUGACGGGGGCCCGCACAAGCAGUGGAGUAUGUGGUUUAAUUCGACGCAACGCGAAGAACCUUACCAAGUCUUGACAUCCUGCGACGGACAUAGAAAUAUGUCUUUCCUUCGGGACGCAGAGACAGGUGGUGCAUGGUUGUCGUCAGCUCGUGUCGUGAGAUGUUGGGUUAAGUCCCGCAACGAGCGCAACCCUUAUGGUCAGUUACUACGCAAGAGGACUCUGGCCAGACUGCCGUUGACAAAACGGAGGAAGGUGGGGAUGACGUCAAAUCAUCAUGCCCUUUAUGACUUGGGCUACACACGUACUACAAUGGCGUUAAACAAAGAGAAGCAAGACCGCGAGGUGGAGCAAAACUCAGAAACAACGUCCCAGUUCGGACUGCAGGCUGCAACUCGCCUGCACGAAGUCGGAAUUGCUAGUAAUCGUGGAUCAGCAUGCCACGGUGAAUACGUUCCCGGGCCU